RNAcentral lists this ribosomal RNA (253 nucleotides) under uncultured bacterium. RNAcentral's name for it is "partial 16S ribosomal RNA". It matches the Rfam family "Bacterial small subunit ribosomal RNA", at positions 524 to 776 of the family's 1533-position model. The record is from RNAcentral.
UACGUAGGGGGCAAGCGUUGUCCGGAUUCAUUGGGCGUAAAGCGCGCGCAGGCGGUCCUUUAAGUCGGGGGUGAAAGCCCAGAGCUCAACUCUGGAACUGCCUUCGAAACUAGAGGACUUGGGUACGGGAGAGGUGAGUGGAAUUCCGAGUGUAGAGGUGAAAUUCGUAGAUAUUCGGAAGAACACCCGUGGCGAAGGCGGCUCUCUGGGACGGUACUGACGCUGAGACGCGAAAGCGUGGGGAGCGAACAGG